Molecule: transfer RNA, 76 nt
Filed under: Eubacteriales Family XIII. Incertae Sedis bacterium
Lineage: Bacteria; Bacillati; Bacillota; Clostridia; Peptostreptococcales; Anaerovoracaceae
Description: tRNA-Ala
Rfam family: tRNA
About the family: Transfer RNA (tRNA) molecules are approximately 80 nucleotides in length. Their secondary structure includes four short double-helical elements and three loops (D, anti-codon, and T loops).
Source: RNAcentral
GGGGAUAUAGCUCAGCUGGGAGAGCGUCCGCCUUGCACGCGGAAGGUCGCAGGUUCGAACCCUGUUAUCUCCACCA